RNAcentral lists this ribosomal RNA (967 nucleotides) under uncultured bacterium. RNAcentral's name for it is "bacterial SSU rRNA". It matches the Rfam family "Bacterial small subunit ribosomal RNA", at positions 534 to 1501 of the family's 1533-position model. The record is from RNAcentral.
GGAAACGUUUUCUCGGAUCCUGGGCGUAAGGGCGCGUAGGCGGGAUGGCAAGUCGGGAGUGAAAUCUCUGGGCUUAACCCAGAGGCUGCUUCCGAAACUGCUGUGCUGGAGUGUGGGAGAGGCGCGUGGAAUUGCAGGUGUAGCGGUGAAAUGCGUAGAUAUCUGCAGGAACACCCGUGGCGAAGGCGGCGCGCUGGACCACUACUGACGCUGAGGAACGAAAGCUAGGGGAGCAAACAGGAUUAGAUACCCUGGUAGUCCUAGCCCUAAACGAUCAGGACUUGGGGUGCCACCCGUUCGGGUGUCGUCCCGGAGCUAACGCGUUAAGUCCUGCACCUGGGGAGUACGGUCGCAAGACUGAAACUCAAAGGAAUUGACGGGGGCCCGCACAAGCGGUGGAACAUGUGGUUCAAUUCGACGCUACGCGAGGAACCUUACCUGGGCUCGAAAUGCUUCUGACCAGCUGUGGAAACACGGCCUUCCCGCAAGGGACAGGAGUAUAGGCGCUGCAUGGCUGUCGUCAGCUCGUGCCGUGAGGUGUUGGGUUAAGUCCCGCAACGAGCGCAACCCCUGCACGUAGUUGCCACUCCGCAAGGAGGGAACUCUACGUGGACUGCUCCGGAUAACGGAGAGGAAGGUGGGGAUGACGUCAAGUCCGCAUGGCCUUUAUGUCCAGGGCUACACACGUGUUACAAUGCAGGGCACAAACCGUUGCCAACCCGCGAGGGGGAGCUAAUCGGAUAAAACUCUGCUCAGUUCGGAUUGCAGUCUGCAACUCGACUGCAUGAAGCCGGAAUCGCUAGUAAUGGCGUAUCAGAUCGACGCCGUGAAUACGUUCCCGGGCCUUGUACACACCGCCCGUCACAUCACGAAAGUGAGCUGUACUAGAAGUCGCCGAGCUAACCGCAAGGAGGCAGGCGCCCAAAGGUAUGACUCAUGAUUGGGGUGAAGUCGUAACAAGGUAACC